GACGAACGCUGGCGGCGUGCUUAACACAUGCAAGUCGAACGGAAAGGCCCUGCUUUUGUGGGGUGCUCGAGUGGCGAACGGGUGAGUAACACGUGAGUAACCUGCCCUUGACUUUGGGAUAACUUCAGGAAACUGGGGCUAAUACCGGAUAGGAGCUCCUGCUGCAUGGUGGGGGUUGGAAAGUUUCGGCGGUUGGGGAUGGACUCGCGGCUUAUCAGCUUGUUGGUGGGGUAGUGGCUUACCAAGGCUUUGACGGGUAGCCGGCCUGAGAGGGUGACCGGCCAAAUUGGGACGGGGAGAGGGCCCAGACGCCUACGGGAGGCAGCAGUGGGGAAGAUUGCACAAUGGGCGGAAGGCUGAUGCAGCAACGCCGCGUGCGGGAUGACGGCCUUCGGGGUGUAAACCGCUUUCGCCUGUGACGAAGCGUGAGUGACGGUAAUGGGUAAAGAAGCACCGGCUAACUACGUG
This 468-nucleotide ribosomal RNA is filed under the name uncultured bacterium. RNAcentral describes it as "partial 16S ribosomal RNA". It matches the Rfam family "Bacterial small subunit ribosomal RNA", at positions 28 to 507 of the family's 1533-position model. The record is from RNAcentral.